CCUACGGGAGGCAGCAGUAAGGAAUAUUGGACAAUGGUGGCAACACUGAUCCAGCCAUGCCGCGUGCAGGAUGACGGUUCUAUGAAUUGUAAACUGCUUUUAUACGGGAAAAACCCUCAGAACGUGAUUCUGAGCUGAUUGUACUGUAAGAAUAAGGAUCGGCUAACUUCGUGCCAGCAGCCGCGGUAAGACGAAGGAUCCAAGCGUUAUCCGGAUUUAUUGGGUUUAAAGGGUGCGUAGGCGGACUCAUAAGUCAGUGGUGAAAUCCCAAAGCUUAACUUUGGAACUGCCAUUGAUACUGUAAGUCUUGAGUAUGUUUGAAGUGGGCGGAAUGUAUUGUGUAGCGGUGAAAUGCUUAGAUAUAAUGCAGAACACCAAUUGCGAAGGCAGCUCACUAAACCAUAACUGACGCUGAGGCACGAAAGCAUGGGGAGCAAACAGGAUUAGAUACCCUGGUAGUCCAUGCCCUAAACGAUGAAUACUCGAUAUGUGCGAUAUACAGUACGUGUCUAAGCGAAAGCAUUAAGUAUUCCACCUGGGGAGUACGCUCGCAAGAGAGAACGUACGAAGAAGUUAGACGGACGNGGAGGACGNGCCGACGGACGACGACGAGGGGAGGAGG
This 622-nucleotide ribosomal RNA is filed under the name uncultured bacterium. RNAcentral's name for it is "bacterial SSU rRNA". It matches the Rfam family "Bacterial small subunit ribosomal RNA", at positions 338 to 959 of the family's 1533-position model. The record is from RNAcentral.